GUGAAAAGUAUAACAAGUCGGCGGGAGGCGGCGAGCUGCAGCGCGCUGUAGGGGCAGAGCCGCAGGCAGGCGGUGAGGUUCCCCUUCCACAGGGCCCGCACGCCCUCGGUGCGGCACAGGCUGCGCCCGGCGCCGAGCAGUCCCCGCCCGCAGUGCCAGGUGCCCACCUGCGCCAGCACCGUCAGCAGCUCCAGCGGCGCGGUCAGGCUGAGGCUCAGCGCGCCCGCCAGCCCCG
Molecule: long non-coding RNA, 235 nt
Filed under: Gallus gallus (chicken)
Lineage: Eukaryota; Metazoa; Chordata; Aves; Galliformes; Phasianidae
Source: RNAcentral